AGAAAUUUAGGUUAAAUAAGACCAAGAGCCUUCAAAGCUCUCAGUAAGCAAACUACUUAAUUUCUG
RNAcentral lists this transfer RNA (66 nucleotides) under Allenopithecus nigroviridis (Allen's swamp monkey). Its description in RNAcentral is "tRNA-Trp". Lineage: Eukaryota; Metazoa; Chordata; Mammalia; Primates; Cercopithecidae. The record is from RNAcentral.